RNAcentral lists this ribosomal RNA (99 nucleotides) under uncultured bacterium. RNAcentral describes it as "partial 16S ribosomal RNA". The record is from RNAcentral.
CACACCGCCCGUCACACCAUGGGAGUUUGUUGCACCAGAAGCAGGUAGCUUAACCUUCGGGAGGGCGCUUGCCACGGUGUGGCCGAUCGACUCGGGGUG